This 314-nucleotide ribosomal RNA is filed under the name uncultured soil bacterium. Its description in RNAcentral is "bacterial SSU rRNA". It matches the Rfam family "Bacterial small subunit ribosomal RNA", at positions 26 to 369 of the family's 1533-position model. The record is from RNAcentral.
AGAACGAACGCUGGCGGCAUGCCUAAUACAUGCAAGUCGAACGAACACUUCGGUGUUAGUGGCGCACGGGUGCGUAACGCGUGGGAAUCUGCCCUUGGGUUCGGAAUAACAGUUGGAAACGACUGCUAAUACCGGAUGAUAUCGAAAGAUCAAAGAUUUAUCGCCCAGGGAUGAGCCCGCGUAGGAUUAGCUAGUUGGUGAGGUAAAGGCUCACCAAGGCGACGAUCCUUAGCUGGUCUGAGAGGAUGAUCAGCCACACUGGGACUGAGACACGGCCCAGACUCCUACGGGAGCAGCAGUAGGGAAUAUUGGAC